CACAUGCAGUCGAGCGAAGCAGUUAAGUUGAUUUCUUCGGAAUGAUUUUUAACUGACUGAGCGGCGGACGGGUGAGUAACGCGUGGGUGACCUGCCCCAUACCGGGGGAUAACAGCUGGAAACGGCUGCUAAUACCGCAUAAGCGCACAGAGCUGCAUGGCUCGGUGUGAAAAACUCCGGUGGUAUGGGAUGGGCCCGCGUCUGAUUAGGCAGUUGGCGGGGUAACGGCCCACCAAACCGACGAUCAGUAGCCGGCCUGAGAGGGCGACCGGCCACAUUGGGACUGAGACACGGCCCAAACUCCUACGGGAGGCAGCAGUGGGGAAUAUUGCACAAUGGGGGAAACCCUGAUGCAGCGACGCCGCGUGAGCGAAGAAGUAUUUCGGUAUGUAAAGCUCUAUCAGCAGGGAAGAUAAUGACGGUACCUGACUAAGAAGCCCCGGCUAACUACGUGCCAGCAGCCGCGGUAAUACGUAGGGGGCAAGCGUUAUCCGGAUUUACUGGGUGUAAAGGGAGCGUAGACGGCAAGGCAAGUCUGAUGUGAAAACCCAGGGCUUAACCCUGGGACUGCAUUGGAAACUGUCUGGCUCGAGUGCCGGAGAGGUAAGCGGAAUUCCUAGUGUAGCGGUGAAAUGCGUAGAUAUUAGGAAGAACACCAGUGGCGAAGGCGGCUUACUGGACGGUAACUGACGUUGAGGCUCGAAAGCGUGGGGAGCAAACAGGAUUAGAUACCCUGGUAGUCCACGCCGUAGACGAUGAAUGCUAGGUGUUGGGGAGCAAAGCUCUUCGGUGCCGCCGCAA
Molecule: ribosomal RNA, 801 nt
Filed under: uncultured bacterium
Lineage: Bacteria
Description: bacterial SSU rRNA
Rfam family: Bacterial small subunit ribosomal RNA
Source: RNAcentral